AUGACAGAAUCCAAACUGCAGAAUCUCGAGACAGAUGACAUCGAGGGCUUCCUCGAUGCGCCCGCCCUCUCUUCCUCCCUCACAUCGUUGGACUUUACUGGGAACAAAGAGAAGACGUGCUUCACAAAGGAGCAGGAGGAGGCCUUUCAACGUCUCACCUCGCUCCAGGAAUUCCAGUUUUGGUAUUGCCGCAAGCUGCAGCACCUCCCUGCAGGCCUAAACAAGCUGACCAACCUCAAGAGAUUACGGAUCUGGAGUUGUCCAUCCCUUCGGUCGCUGCCCAAGGGCGGCCUCCCGAGUUCACUGCGAGAAUUAAAUGUCAACGAGUGCGACAAUGAGGAGCUAACAAAGCAGUGCAGGCGGUUAAUGGGGACCAUCCCGGAAAUCACACUAUAG
This 396-nucleotide ribosomal RNA is filed under the name Triticum aestivum (bread wheat). RNAcentral's name for it is "partial small subunit ribosomal RNA". The record is from RNAcentral. Lineage: Eukaryota; Viridiplantae; Streptophyta; Magnoliopsida; Poales; Poaceae.